Molecule: long non-coding RNA, 1104 nt
Organism: Neofelis nebulosa (Clouded leopard)
Lineage: Eukaryota; Metazoa; Chordata; Mammalia; Carnivora; Felidae
Exons: 4
Source: RefSeq, a predicted model, not a curated record
UGUAGCCUGCAGUCCAGCCCCGCUCCAGCUUGGGGCUCAUCUGGGGGAAAGUAUUUAAGCACAGGCGCCUGCCCCUGCUAGGGCAUUGAAACUCUUGGUCUUAGCGGUUCCAACAACAGUGAACAUGGACUUCAAGCUGCUGGCGGUGAGAUUCCUGUCUUGGGGGGAAACUUCAGAUGGUAAGCUCUGUCCCGGGGUUUGGAAGAAUGGCUCUGUCUCUCUCUCCCUCCCACGUACCCUCUGUGGUUGCCAGAGGGCAGGCUGAGACCAGCCUACAGCACACAGGACAGAUCAGGCCACCAAACCAGUCUCCCUUGGUCUACAAGAUCUUGGCAUUACUUAAAACCAAGACAUUUCAUGUACAUCUCCAGGUUGCUGGCUUUUCUUGGAAAAGUAUGAAGCUCUGGCAGAGUUUGUACGUGACAGCUCCCGGUGGUCCUCAGGAUCCCAGCACCAGCCUCCUUCCCCUCAAUUGUCAGCUGUAACCAUCAAGGUGCCCUGGCGUAGGGGUCUAUUGCCUUACGAAUAACCAAGGACCUGGAAGAAAGCUGCUUCUAUCCACAGAAGGAGGACGUGAGUUGGCCUGAGAAUUGGAAGGGAAUGUUAAGAGCGUUCUGUGUUGACCCAAGAAUGUGCUGAUGGGCAAUGAGGUGAUAAAAAACUAUUAAAAAACAACUAAGAAUUUAAAUAUGAUGGUGGAAAAUUGCCAAGGGGAUUGGCCCUCCAGUUCCUGAACAGUGUACGAAGAAACAAUAGCAUAGCUUCCCACGAUGGCUGCUUCCACCAUAACUUUCAUCUGAUGCCUGAUUCAUUUGAUACUCUAGAAAACAGGUUUGAAAACUCAAUGCUGAUAGCAUUUUGCCUCCUUGAUGCGUCCUGACUGUACCAAGCCCAGAUUAUUGAAGGUAGGUAUUGCUCACACUUAAUGGAAUCUCACUUAAUAUGUUCACAACAGAUAACAGUGGUGAUUGAAGGAACUUUUCCAAGAGUAUGGAAGGACACUAACCAUCUAAUAGGAUGGAUAACACAGAGAAGCUAAAAUAUGGGGACAUGUCCUGAAACAUGUUGAGCUGGUACCAGCCUCAGCAACACUCCAUGGAGAAA